Molecule: transfer RNA, 71 nt
Filed under: Marmota monax (woodchuck)
Lineage: Eukaryota; Metazoa; Chordata; Mammalia; Rodentia; Sciuridae
Description: tRNA.Ala
Rfam family: tRNA
About the family: Transfer RNA (tRNA) molecules are approximately 80 nucleotides in length. Their secondary structure includes four short double-helical elements and three loops (D, anti-codon, and T loops).
Source: RNAcentral
GGGGUUGUGGCUCAGUGGUAGAGCACUCACCUAGCAUUUGUGAGGCCCUGGGUUUGAUUCUCAGCACCACA